This 253-nucleotide ribosomal RNA is filed under the name uncultured bacterium. RNAcentral's name for it is "partial 16S ribosomal RNA". It matches the Rfam family "Bacterial small subunit ribosomal RNA", at positions 524 to 776 of the family's 1533-position model. The record is from RNAcentral.
UACGUAGGGGGCAAGCGUUGUCCGGAAUCAUUGGGCGUAAAGCGCGUGUAGGCGGCUCGGUAAGUCCGCUCUGAAAGUCCAGGGCUCAACCCUGGGAUGCGGGUGGAUACUGCCGGGCUCGAGUCCGGAAGAGGCGAGUGGAAUUCCCGGUGUAGCAGUGAAAUGCGCAGAUAUCGGGAGGAACACCAAUGGCGAAGGCAGCUCGCUGGGACGUGACUGACGCUGAGACGCGAAAGCGUGGGGAGCAAACAGG